ACGAAUCUGCUGGAGACGUCACGUCCAAUCACACCGUACUUUCACAUUGUGCAUGUUGAGGCUCGGAGAGUGAGAACCGACUGUACAUUCACACUUUACACAAUGAAUCCACUCCACCCUGUGUGUGUGUGUGUGUGUGUGUGUGUGUGUGUGUGUGUGUGUGUGUAUGUGAGUGUGUGUGUGUGUGUAUGUGUGUGUGAGUGUUUGUGUGAGUGUGUGUGUGUGUAUGUGAGUGUGUGUGUGUGUGUAUGUGUGUGUGUGUGUGUGUGUGUAUGUGUGUGUGUGUGUGUAUGUGUGUGUGAGUGUUUGUGUGAGUGUGUGUGAGUGUUUGUGUGAGUGUGUGUGAGUAUCCUCCCAGCUUACAUAUGCACAUGUACCAGAAACUAGACGUACAACACACACACACACACACACACACACACACACACACACACACACACAUAUACAGUCUCACGUGUUUCAACACACCCAUCACCCAGCUUCCCGUCCAGCUUCUUCUUUUUCUCUAAACUUCGGCAAAAUAGAACAGAGUGUGUUCACUGCAGUGUCAGGUGCAGAGAAACACACACACACACACACACACACACACACACACUGAGAUAUAGAUGAUAAUCGAAGUGAGAUGAAAAGAGGAGGAGCAGGAGGAGGAUAUAUGGGUCAUCGAUAGACGUGUGAGACGUUUUGUGACAGAAGCGUGUCAGACUCUCGGCUCAGUGGGACGACACUCGCUCAGGAAGGUGCACUGAACAGGAAAACGAGAGAGAGAGAGAGCGAGAGCGCGAGAGAGAGCGAGACGGAGGGAGAAAGAGGAAGAGAAGGGUUGUGUCUUUCCGGCCUAGAUUAAUGCGAGUUUAACCUCAGAGAACAGCCACAGCACGGAGAAAAGAACAGAACUGAGACUGAGAUGAAGAGAUGUCAUGGUUAUGAAUAAAAAGUCAUCGUGUUUAAAUCUCUGCUGAAGAAACUAAAGCUGCAGAUGUUUAUGAUUUUCGGGACAUGCUGAAGCUCACGGCACGUACCUGAAUCGAACAUAUCCAAUCGCGGUACAAGAAAAAGCAAAAAAUAAAUAAAAAGCUCUUCACCGAGGUGCUGCAGUGAAACAGGAUGUACCUGCUUUUCAUCUCUCUGGUCUUCUCGCUAGCUCUCGGACCUGACGUCAGGCUCCUGAACGCAGAGGAGUCCACGAGCAUGCCGAGUAAAGAGAGCACGGUCUUCCCGCAGGUGACCGGAUCGAGAUCAGGUGAAAACUCUCCCACUGAGCCUGAGGAAACAACCAUGAAGAACAUGGAGUAUGAUAACAACAACUUCUCCACCACUGAAGGUCUAACAACUGAGACUGGGAAUGUGCCGCAAACAUCAGACGGACGCACAGUGAUGUCCAUUCCAGAGCUUCAGACUACUUCAGAGCUUCAGACCACGUCAGUGCAUCUGACUCCAGAGCCUGCAACCAUUCCUGCGACCGUCAUGACGACGAAUGAGCUCACCACUCCGGCUGCUCCUUCCGAACCCACGUCUCAGCCCGUGACGGAGAAGACCACUAUGACAAACAUCAUCAGCACUAAGCCUCCUGAGACCCCAUCUCAAACCAUCCCUGAUACAACAGCCUUAAGCACAAAACCACCAGUUUUCACACCUACACCUGCUUCUGUUGAGAAAGUGGAGACCACCGACACUUCUCCAACAACCAUGCCCACACCUAGCACCACCACCACCAUCACCACCACCACCACCACCACCAUGCCCACCACCCCCCUCAUCACCACCAUGCCCACCACCCCCCUCAUCACUACCCAGGGGCAGGCCACCAACCUGAACCUUGUACUGUCUACAGAGGGUGAAGGGUCCAGGACGGGAACUAAAUGGUUAAUCAUCGCUGUCAUAGCGUUGGUCAUUUUCGGCAUAUUAACGAUUUUUUGCGUCACCAUCCUCAUCAAACGCAAGCAGAAGCGAAGUGGCAAGCAGAGCUUCGGCUACACGAACGGACAGAGGUCCAAGAAGAAGAAAGGCACGGAGGACAACGUCUGGGCGGGGCCCGUGGAAUUAGGAGGCGGGGAUUGCGAGGCUCCAGAUGAAGGCGAUGUGCAAGGAGAGGAGAAGAAGACGGACGGGGGAGGGGAGGUGACGGGGCUCAGCACUUUCGUGCCUUCGGAGGAGAACGGAGGCGUGGGGCGGCCGGGGUCACCCGAGGUCGGGAAGUGGGAGGAGAAAGAACCCUUGCUGUACAUUGACGAAGAAGCGACGCAGAAAGGAAAGGAGGCGGGAGCGAGCGGGGACGCAGACGUGAAGGAGGCGGAGCCUAAUGGCGGAGAAACAUUCUGUCUCACCACGGCCGUGUGAAAGCUCCUCCCCUUUUCACAAACUGAUGAGUUCCAAAUAUUUCAGGUCACGCUCCUGUAAAAGAAAAAUGAGUGAUUAGAAGUCCUGAGGAAGGAAAGCCUGAGGCCGUGUGUGAUGGAGAGGAAGGGG
Long non-coding RNA from Ictalurus punctatus (channel catfish), 2466 nucleotides. The record is from Ensembl. Lineage: Eukaryota; Metazoa; Chordata; Actinopteri; Siluriformes; Ictaluridae.